UUACCCUUUAGUGUUGAUCAUGAGUGCUCGAGCACGUACACUCAAGAGCUCUUAAGGAGAACGCGAAACUGACAGCGUGCGUGUCAUGCGUGUCUUAGCGGAUUGCGAGUACAAGAUCGACUGCCGGUGCUUUUGCAUAUUCACGGAAUUGGCCAGUGUCCCCCAAGGUGUCUCAGGUUGCAAAGGUGUGGUAACAGUGGAGCCAGCCUCCCGGCUACCAGUCUGGCAUAAUAGUUUUACAACCCGGUCUGGAGUCUGGCAAUUCGGGUCAAGAAACCAAUAAAAGUGGUUUGAUUUUUCGAUUUACCCUGGCAGUCACCGCUCGUCUGUGGAGCCAGUUGGACGUCAGGCUCAUUGUUGCUGAACCAACAAUGCAGAACUCGGCCCUGGAGGUGCAUUGAAUGAACAAAGAGGAGAAUGCGGAUUUUCGCGGAUUCUGGCAACCAUGUGCGAAAAUUGGCCUCAAGAAAGAGAGAAUGAACGAGCCAGCGACGGCGGCGGCGGCUGCGGCGACGGCGGUCAGCGAGUGAUUAAUCAAGGUCUGCUGGGCGGGGUGCGGGCCGGGCAGGUGUGUGAUGACACCAGCCGUCGCGGCGUGUGUGUCACACCGGCCAACGGGGGUGCUUCGUUCGAUAAUCUCCCUGUCAAAAUUAGACCACGUCGAUAAUUCGCACGCCGCAGCCACUUUCGGCCGGGCCGUCGGCGCCUGCGGCCGGCAACGCGGCGCCGAACGCACAGGUGGCGGUGAAAGGGUUGACAUUGGGCACGGGGCCGCUGAAAAUAGCUAGCCCGACGAGCUCAUAUGCACAAUAUACAUUGCACACACACAUGUCAUACCAACCAUCGUGGGUGCUGUCGCGCCAAGCAAUCUCAUCGGCUGAAUUCGGCCCGCCGUCCGUCGGCCAUGUCCCGUGUGUCGGCUCUGGUGCUGCCGGCCGACGCUGCCCUUCUCCUCAGCUGGCCAAUUACGGAUUCCGCGAGUGAGUGUAAGUAGUGUUGUGUGUUGCACUUGCACACAACACACACUCACUCGCCCAGCCGACACACAACACACACGGCCGUAAGCGCGGCCGACGAUCCACGCGCGCCGCUCCUGCAGCCUGUUGACUCACACCAGAACCACGUGUGCACCGCACGAACCCAGAGACACCUGCCGGCUGGUGCUCACCACUCGCCAGAGUCGCCAGAUCAUACCAACAUCAUCUCUUUGCGAUACUCUCUCGGUUUUGCUGAACAGUGGGAAAUGUGUUGUUUUCCAGCUUCCUGCACUCGCCAAAUGACUGUACUGUGAUAUUGUGCGAAUUACGAGACGCAAAUUUUUAGGAAUAAUUUCAUCCAGGUCCCUUUCAACAACCAAACGCGAAUUUCCUUGUUGCAACAAAAGGUCAACAAUCAAUUCGACAAUGAAAAUUUGGGUGUUUGUUGAACGUUGCGCAAUUUUGCCGGGACCAGGACGAUUUCAUGUUCUCUUAGUUUUGGAUAAUUAUAGAAAGAGAAAUAAAGUCAAUUUUUUCUGGUA
Cloeon dipterum is the source of this 1519-nucleotide long non-coding RNA. RefSeq lists it as uncharacterized. The transcript is spliced from 2 exons. The record is from RefSeq and is a predicted model, not a curated record. NCBI's taxonomy places the organism in Eukaryota, Metazoa, Arthropoda, Insecta, Ephemeroptera, Baetidae.